This 212-nucleotide unclassified non-coding RNA is filed under the name uncultured Agaricales. RNAcentral describes it as "sequence contains ITS1". The record is from RNAcentral. Lineage: Eukaryota; Fungi; Basidiomycota; Agaricomycetes; Agaricales.
UUGAAUUAAACCUGGUUGGGUUGUGCUGGCCUCUCGGGGCAUGUGCACGCCUGAUCACCGUUUUCUAACCACCUGUGCACCUUUUGUAGACUCUUGGUUUGGGGGGUUGCUUAACGGCUCUCCCUGUUCACCUUCAAGGUCUAUGAUAUUAUACACCACAAAAGUAGUAACAGAAUGUCUUAUUGAGGGCCUCAGUGCCUUUAAUUUUAAUA